RNAcentral lists this ribosomal RNA (493 nucleotides) under uncultured bacterium. RNAcentral describes it as "bacterial SSU rRNA". It matches the Rfam family "Bacterial small subunit ribosomal RNA", at positions 802 to 1298 of the family's 1533-position model. The record is from RNAcentral.
GUAAACGAUGGAUACUAGGUGUGGGGGGUCUGACCCCUUCCGUGCCGGAGUUAACACAAUAAGUAUCCCACCUGGGGAGUACGAUCGCAAGGUUGAAACUCAAAGGAAUUGACGGGGGCCCGCACAAGCAGUGGAGUAUGUGGUUUAACUCGAAGCAACGCGAAGAACCUUACCAGGAUUUGACAUCCUACCAACGAAGCAGAGAUGCAUCAGGUGCCCUUCGGGGAAAGUAGAGACAGGUGGUGCGUGGUUGUCGUCAGCUCGUGUCGUGAGAUGUUGGGUUAAGUCCCGCAACGAGCGCAACCCCUAUUGCUAGUUGCUACGCAAGAGCACUCUAGCGAGACUGCCGUUGACAAAACGGAGGAAGGUGGGGACGACGUCAAAUCAUCAUGCCCCUUAUGUCCUGGGCUACACACGUACUACAAUGGCGGUCAACAAAGGGGAGCGAAACAGUGAUGUGGAGCAAAUCCCAAAAAGCCGUCUCAGUUCGGAU